AGGCUAACGCCAGCAAGCCGCCGUCCAGGCUAAUUUGUAAUCAGGGGGUCGCGGGUUCGAACCCUGCCGGGGGCACCA
RNAcentral lists this transfer RNA (78 nucleotides) under Rhizobium esperanzae. RNAcentral's name for it is "tRNA-Thr". Lineage: Bacteria; Pseudomonadati; Pseudomonadota; Alphaproteobacteria; Hyphomicrobiales; Rhizobiaceae. The record is from RNAcentral.